RNAcentral lists this ribosomal RNA (244 nucleotides) under uncultured Actinomycetales bacterium. RNAcentral describes it as "partial 16S ribosomal RNA". It matches the Rfam family "Bacterial small subunit ribosomal RNA", at positions 88 to 334 of the family's 1533-position model. Lineage: Bacteria; Bacillati; Actinomycetota; Actinomycetes; Actinomycetales. The record is from RNAcentral.
UACUCGAGUGGCGAACGGGUGAGUAACACGUGGGUGAUCUGCCCUGCACUUCGGGAUAAGCUUGGGAAACUGGGUCUAAUACCGGAUAGGAGCCAUCUUUAGUGUGGUGGUUGGAAAGUUUUUUCGGUGUAGGAUGAGCUCGCGGCCUAUCAGCUUGUUGGUGGGGUAAUUGGCCUACCAAGGCGGCGACGGGUAGCCGGCCUGAGAGGGUGUACGGCCACAUUGGGACUGAGAUACGGCCCAG